GGGUAGAGCUCAGUGGUAGAGUGCCUGAUUAGCAUGCACAAGGACCUGGGUUCGAUCCCCAGUACUUCCA
Molecule: transfer RNA, 70 nt
Filed under: Camelus bactrianus (Bactrian camel)
Lineage: Eukaryota; Metazoa; Chordata; Mammalia; Artiodactyla; Camelidae
Also listed under: 2 other names
Rfam family: tRNA
About the family: Transfer RNA (tRNA) molecules are approximately 80 nucleotides in length.
Source: Rfam by way of RNAcentral